AUUUCACAAGAGCAUGAAGCACUCUCAUAAGAGUCGCUGGACCAUUCCACCAACUGUAGUUGUUACCCUGAGUAGUUUUGUGCAUUAGCAAUUACAUUCAGAAAUAGAAACAGUGACAGUGGCUAGAAAUGUGGCUGCUGAGCUAUGUGUCUUUAAGGAGAAAAAGAAAAGAAAAAGAUCUGUGUACCCAACAACUGAAAAUUUAGUCAUUUAUGAGAAAACAUUUUUGAGCACCAACCCUGAGCCAUUGGCUUAGGAUACAAGAAAGAAGAAGACAAAUAGCUGCCUUUUGAGAGUUUAUCCACUGUGAAUAAUAGACCAACAGCUCCAAUAGUGUUUGCAGGUUGUCCCACUGGAGAGGACAGAGGGUCUCUUUCCAUCAGCAGGAGUUGCCAUUAGAAGAACCGCCAAGAGUUCUUGGAUGGAGAUGAAAAGGUGAGGAGAGGGUCUCAGUCACCAUGAGAAUGGGGACCAUUAAGAGAACUAGGAUUCACUAUGGGGGUGGAGCUCAGACUGCCCGAGAGGGAGGAGCAGAAGAUGAGUCUGGAAAGAAGAGAAGACAAGGAAGCCACUGCGGGUGGUGGUCUAGGCUAAAGAGCCAGGCACUGGUCCUGGAAGGAAGCUGGGAAGAAGCAUGAUCAGGUGCCUGCUUUAGGGAGAUGUCAUCAGUGGACUAGCUGAGAGUGAGCCUAGAGACAGGCAGAUGACUAGAUUGACUCUGGAAAUAUCUGAGAGAGAAAUCCAGGACUGAAAUAAAGCAUGGAGAGGUGUAAGGUGUGUGGACAGAUUUGAGUUCUUUGAAAGGUAGGACUGGGAGGCCUUGGUUGUCCAUGGCAUGUGAGGGGUCGAGAAAAGAGGGAGAGAUUAGGGAUGGCUUCUCCAGAUGGAUGAAGGUACCAUACACUGAAUGGCAAUGAAUGAUACAAGAAGUAUAGGUAGGAUAGAGAAAAUAUAGGUGUUUUGAUAUGUUCCACUUGCUCUUUAAAUGAGACAGCCAAACAGAAUCUCCCAUCCAGAUCCAAGUUCAAGAGAGUAGUGUGAUCUGGAGAUCCCAGGUCCCAGGGACAUCAGCAGAUAGAGCUGAAAGCUGGCUGCGGAGGUCUGAAUGUCUGUGCCCCUCCCAAGUUCAUAGGUUGAAAUCUAACCCCCAACCUGACAGUAUGAGGGGGUGGGGCCCUUUGGAAGUGAUUAGAUUGUGAAAGGAAUCAGUGCUCUUAUAAAAGAGGUCUGAGGGACUCCUCUUCCUUUGCGCCCUGUGAGGACACAUGGAAGGCGCUAUCUAUGAGAAACAGGUCCUCUCUACCAGACACGGAAUCUGCUGGCACUUUAACCUUGGAACUGUGAGCAGUAGAUUCCUGCUGUUUAUAAGUAGUAUUUUGUUAUAGCAGCCUGCACUGACAUGACACUGGCCAAAGGAGGGCCUGAGACAUAAACAGAAGAGGCCAGUCCAGGGAAUUCCCAGGGCGAAGGAAAAUGAAGCCACCAAGAAGAGCAAGCAAAGAGAGGGGGAAAUAGUCUUACCAGAAAACAGAGGCAGGAUGACUUUGGAAGAAAGAGGAAGUGUUCCACAGUGUCACGUGACAUAGAGGUCAAGGAACACAGGGAAGAAGCAGGCGAUCUGGCAUCUGGGUACUUACUGGCUGGUAGAAGACCCUGUAGGGAGGUGCAGAGACUGGAAGGCCAUGAGUCAGGGAAGUGGUGACAAUAGUUGGACAGUUCUAGCCAGGAGCUCAGCUAGAAGGGAAGGAGUUGCUUAGCAGCGGACUGGGUAAGAGAAUUCAGUUGAGGGGAUUUAAGCAGAAAUAGUUGGUAGAGGAGAUAGAUUUACAGGAGAGAGGAAAUGGGUGGAGCAAGCAUGCAAAAGAAUGUUCCAAGCUCAGCUCAGGUCUGAGCUCCAUGUUCCCUCCCUGUUCCAUACCUCUGCAGCCUUCACCUGGGCCAUUCACCUAGCACCUCCACACCUUGUUCUACAUUAUACUCAUUGGAGUGGAGUGUAUGUCUUGCCUUCUGAGGUUAACCUUCAAUCUCUUCCAGGGAAAGAACUCCAUCUUAAAUAUUUUUUUUGUUAUAAUUCAUAGUGCUUCUUUUGUGCUGUUUUAUUAGAACUGAGUUCCACGGUGGUGGUGUUGGAAGGUAUAACCGCUGAGGUGAAGGACACAGAAAGUUACAGCUUGGUGAAGUUUUACAUAUGUCCAAUGUAUAGAGUAUUCCUAGCACACUAGCAUAGCCUCACCCAGUCAAACCUACCUGAGAAUAACCACCUUCUACCGCAAUAUAAUUCUGCCUGCCCUUGGCCUUCUUUUAAUGGGGAUUGUACAGCAUACGUUCUUUGGAGUCUGAUUUCUUUCUCCCUCAACAAUAUUUUUUGUUGUAUGUAGUGGUUCAAGUUUGCUUGUUUGUUUUGUUUGUUUGUGAAGUAUUCCAUUGUACAAAUCUACCAAUGUUUCUACCUGUUAAUAGAUACUAGGAUUUUUUUUUUCCCAGUUUGGGACUAAAAUGAAUAGUGUUUACAUGAAUAUUCUUGUGUGUGUGUGUAUUGAGGGUCAUAGCAUACUCUAUGAGUACAUACUUGAAGAUGUGAUUGACAGGUCCUAGGGUAGACAUUUAUUUUAUUUUAGUAAAUACUGCCGAAGUGUUUAUGCAAUUUAGAUACUUAAAGUGCAUGAGUGCUCUGGUUCUACAGGAUUUUUAAAGAAAAUUCAAUUCUAUGAGGAAUGCUUAAAACACUGAAAGAACUACCACUUUUAAGAACCCACAAUACUUGAGAAGUAUCUAUUAAUAUGUUGAUAAUUGUUAUGUAUAUAACACAUCACUCCUCUACUCACUGACUUUUAUUAUAGGAACCCCCACUCCUUUUUUUUGGUCUAGUUUGAGUUAAGGCAGAUUCCUGAAUAUAAGUAUGUUUCUUUAAAAAUAAUUUCAUAAUUUGUGAUUAUCAUCAAUUUUUAAAGAUCCUGUUGCUUUACAUUCAGAUUCAUGAGAUUUUACUUUGCUAAUCAAUUUGAUUUUUCCUAAGAACUGGAGAACCAGCCUCCGUGCAUACCUUGGAAUGACAUCUACUCUGCUUUCAAGUUCACCUUGGCUCACUUACAUUCUUAGGAGUAGGUCACAGCACAGUGGUUCUGUGAGAGUGAACAAACUGAUCUAGAUGGUAAGUCAAAGUUUGAAAGCAGCAUAUGGUGAAGAAUAUGGGCCAACCUUACCUGGGUAUUCUGACCUUGGGUUGAAAAGACAAUACAGUCCUUCUGGGCAUCUCAGAGGUGUUAGGCUCCACCAUGUCUGUCUCCUGAGUGGUAUUGUACUGAUCUGGGUGGUCGUCUUCUAUCAUUGGUGUACCAUAGCAUUUGGGAUCUCUUUCUUACUGUCCUCCUAGAAAUGCCCUUUACCUCUCUCCAGUGUCAGAAUUUCUGUUGUUAUAUCUUUCCCUUUCUUGAGAAAAGCUGCAUGGGAAAUAAGUUUUUAGACUUUGCAUGUCUAAAAAAUGUCUUUAUUCUAUCCUCAUGUUUGUUUGAUAGUUGAGCUAGGUAUGGAAUUACAGGUUGGAGAGCAUUUUCCUUCAUAACUGUGAAUAUAUCGCCUUUAUUUUCUUUUUGCUUCUAAUGAUGUUGUUGAGGACCUCCAAGCCUGUCUAAUUUUUUAUUCUUUGUAUGUGAUUUUUUUUCCAUUCUCUGAAUUUUCAUAGACUAUUUAUCAUAUACCCUACUGACCCCCCUCGCCCCGGCUUUUGGGAAAUUUCUAAUGAGAUGCCUUAAUUUGGAUCUGUCUGUAUUUGAACUGUUGAGCAUUUGGUGUAUUCUUUGAAACUCAAAAUGCUUGUCUUUCAUUUCUGGGAAUUUCUUUGGAAUCAUUUAUUAUUAUUAUGUCCUUGCUAUUUUCUCUUCUGUGAACUCUUAUGAUUUAGAUAUUGACUUCUUAGACCAGUCUUAUAGUUUUAUUUUAUUUUCUCUUCAGUUUUACAUCUCUUUGACCUUUUACUCUACUUUCUGGAAGACUUUUUAAUUCCUAAGAACUCCCUGAUGGCCUCUGCAUGUUCCUUUCUUGUUUCAUCAUGUUCUCUUUUCUUGCAUGUAGCAUCCUUUAUUAUCUCUUACACAUAUAAUAUGCAUGCACUUUAAUUCUCCUCUCCCUGUGUAUUCUCAUUCCUCUACACAAUGCUUUGAUUUCUGUUUGUCCAUUGUUUGUUUUGGUAUUUAUCUUCCAUAUUAUCAGCUCUCCUCACAUGUUCAGUGAUAUUGGAAUAUCUGAUCAUGACUAAGAAUGAACAACUAUCAAUUUGGUUGGAAGCUCUUACACUGACUACAAACUCUGGGCAAGUUGGUGGAGCUUUGGACUGUGUGUUGCAUGGUAGGAUUGUUGGAGCACCUCUAGUAUCAGUGAUGAUAGGUUUGUUCCUCUCGGAUUUCUUAAGCACUUGAAGUGCUUGAAAGAGUUCCUGGCACAUAGUAAAUGCUCCAUAAAUAUUAGCUAUUAUUAUUAUCAUGAAAAAUGCACAUGAAGAAACAAAUAUAUAACUCAACUAACCCAACGUCCACAUCCUUGCUAGAAUUGUCACACCAACUUACACAGAUGCCAUCAUUCUCAUAAUGAUUUGGACACGAACCUUGAAUGGCUGAUGGAUGAUAGAAAGCAGGGAUGGAAGGAAGACUCUCACGACAGGAGAGUGAGAGGAGGCAGUGGAUUGAGAAGGCACCAGUGUCUAGACGAGAUGCCAAGCAGUCACAGUGACUUUCAAAGCAUCCUCAUUAAGCCAGUGUCUAAUCAUUGUUCAUCUUUGCAGUCCUGGGGAGAUAGGUUCUGGCACACACUUGGGGGCAGAUUUGUAAAUUAGCUCUAUGACUCCUCCAGUUGCCUCCCAUUUUGUGGGUGAUGGCACCAGAGGACCAACUCUGGGGGUGGGGGAGAAGGAAUAUUCCAUCCAUCUGGCUGCAGAUUAUUAAGCCACUUUUUCUUCCUGUCACAAACAAAUUGUGAAUCACACUGCAUUCUCCUCCACCCUCCCUUUCUAGAGUCUCCUCUUCCUUUUCUAUAACCUGGGGAGGAUGUGCUCAACACUGGUGGGUGCUGGUUGUGUGGUUCUUAGUAAUGAGAAGGGCUCCCUUUUCCUUCUUUCCACAGCAGUUAGUCCCCAGCCACCUGGAAGUUCCCUCCAGAAAUCAAACGAGCAGCUUCCGCAGAGCCUGGUCACUCGCCAGAGCGGUGGAUUCCUCUCAGGAGCUGUUGUAGCCUUUGGCAGGGAGUCAGCUCCGCGGGUCAUUGAUUUCAACUGCUCAGCAUCUUUGUUUCAGCUCAUCUUGUGCAUCUGCCUCUCUCAAUUCAAUUCUAAUAACUUUAAUGGCACAAAGAGAUGGCGAAAGCAUUGCCAAAGUCAAUAAUCAAGUUUCUGCAACCCAGGAUUACUUUUUUUUCCCAGUUGUUUCAGCAUGGAUGAGAACUACACAGGCUCAUGCUGUGUUUUGUCUCUGGAUUAUUCUCUGGUGAGAUAAUUUAUAUCAGGAGAUCUGAGUCAGUCAUUUCGCCCAGUUAUAUUUGGUCUCACUAUUUUCUGUGGCUUCUUGGUUGAUUCUUAUUUGUUUCCAUGUCUUUUUCAUACUAUUUCUUUAUUGAUGAAGAAACCAGAUCAGCAAAUAUUUAUGAACGUGUUUUGCAUGGAGGCAGUGUGGUAGAGUCUUAGUUCAAAUCCUGGCUCUUCUGCUUUUAUAUACUGUGUGAUACCCAGGCCAAUUAUGUGCCUUCUCUACAGCUCCAGUUACUCAUGUGGACAUUACGUGGCGAGUAAUGACACCAUUCCUUAUUGCAUUGUCAUGAGGAUGAAAUAAAAUUGUACCGACAGAGCCUGGCCUGGUGUCUGGCACAGAGUAACCCUUCACACAUGGAAAUUGAUAUUUUUAUGCUGGUUUUCAGUGCUGUCUUUUAUCCAUGACCUCAUUUCGUCUUCAAAACACAUCUCUCAAAGAGAAAGGAGAAAUGCAUUUAUUCUAGACAAAGGAACAGACAGAUAAUCAAAGAGAUUAACCGAGAGUCACACAGCUAGCGAGGAGCAGCAGUGGGACCCAAAUACAGACAGGUUCUGUGACUUACAAAUCACAUUUAUAUCUCGGGCACUAAGCAGAUCCGAAAAUGUCAUAAUUGAGAGGUGGAAAAAUGAAGAAUACUGGAAAACUAAGUAGGGUCCUGAUACUGAUAAGUUAGAGUGAUACUUCUGAGUUGGAUGUGUUAAAUCCAAAUCUAGAGCAAUGAAGCAGAGAUGGAAGAGGAAAGCUCCCAAAAGCCCCCAAGGACCAGAGAAUAACAAGGACAAAUCCAGAGCCUCUCCCAAACCUGCCAGGCAGGGGCAAUCACAAGCAAGUCGAUAAUUAGAAGCCUUCUUCAUAGGUUAAAGCCAGCAGAAUCCUGUAGGUCACUGAACACUUUCAACUUAUCCCAGAUCUAAGGUGAAACAAAGACCCGAAAAGGAGAGGCACAGAGGGCCACUUAGCGAGGCCCAGAUUAGAGUCCACAAAGACUCGGUGCACAGCUUGGGAAAGUGGUUCUGAAGAUGAACGUGGUUGUUUGUUAGGACAAUAAUCUGUGUAUUUGUGUAACCAUUAGCCAGGGAGCUGGUGCGUUCCCAGGGAACUAUUCAAGCCAGAAGCAAUUGGGUGAGGCGGGGAAAGAGGCUCCAUUUGUGGUAGAUCUCCCUUCUCCCUCCCUUCCCAAGGCAGUGCAAGUCUAGAGGGAGCCCUGAGCUGCCCUGCUGAGGAGACAAGCGAUUUUUGUUAGUAACUCUGGAGUAAAUGGAUGCUGAGGCUAGGAGUGAGUUCCUCUCCCAUCUGCCCUCGUCCUAUGCUUUGCAUGAUUUGGCUGCUCUGCCUCCCCCUAGCACCUCUUCCCAAUAUCGGCACCCCCUCUGGAUGGAUGGAAAAACCCGAAAAAUCACUCCACAAUAGUUUUUCCAAGUUCAGCUGGUGCACGAGGCCAGGGCCUGGGAGUUCAAGGGAUAAGAAGAAUACUUGCACCAGAGGUACUGCUCGCUUAUUUGGACAUGCACAGGGUUGGGUGUUGAUGGCUACGGAAGAAACUGGGAACUGAACCCCCCACCACAGCCCUGUAGCCUGUGAAUAACUUCCUGUUGUUUUAUUAUUGGUGGUGGGCAUGUCACAUUGAUGUAGCCCAACAGAAUCUUCUGGUUUUCUCCCCCCAUGAAUUCUCCUAACUCCCCAAGUCAGCUGUCUACUCCUGCUGGGGGUGGGGGGACAGAUCUCUGACUGCACACUCUGUGAAGAGAGGGCCAGCUCUGCUCAGUCCUGGACCCCAGCGCCUCCGAGAUUUUGCCCUUUCAGUAACCUCUUGUUGAUGGAUCCAUGGAGACGCUCCAGUGGGCUCUUCAAGGGUGAGGGACUGGCUGUCAAGGCUCGAGGAUGGACAGGGAAGCACAUUAUGGAAAUCUCAGAUGGCCCCCCACAAAGGAAGGUGGUUGAGAGAAAGUAAGAAUGGGAAAAGGAUGAGGUGAAGAAGGAGAAAUGGGGACCCUGGUGAGGGAGAGGGAGUUGGCAUCUGCCAUGAAAGUCAUGAUCCACAGAGGGGACCAGAGGGCUGGGAGGGGCCAGUGGGCAGGGUAGCCAAGGAAGUCCCAGAGGUGGGUCAGACAGGGGAAAGGAACACCCAUCUAGAGGCCUGCUCCAGCCUCUCUCCUGUUCCCCAGUCUUCCAGCCACAUUAGCUUGUCCUGACUUCAAAGAGCUGGUGAGAGUGGGGCUUUCAGUGGGUCCGGGGUGUUUCAUUUGGGGCCUCUUUUCAAUCAGUUGCUGAAAAUGGGUGCAGGACUUGGUCCCUGAGUUUGAGGAUGGUAUUUUCUUAUGGGAAAAAGGAAACUUCCACUGCUUAGAUUCUCAAAACUCUUCCAGGCGUGUCCUCAAGGGGUGCACGAUUUUGAAUCCAAAUAAAGUCUAUUCAGUUGGAAAGCAAGAAUCAUCAUCCUGUUGAAUUCACUGGUAAUUAGACUUCGAGCCAACAUUUGUAAAGUGCUAUAUAAUUUAAUACAGUCUUCCACAGCAUACACUUUUUUAAAAAAUUGUUGUUUGUUUGUUUUGUUUUGAUGCCAACCUAGGGGCUCUUUACCACGGAGCCACAUCCCCAGCCCUUUUUAUUUAUUUUUUUUUAUUUUGAGACAGGAUCUCAUUAAGUUGCUUAGGGCCUCACUACUUUGCUGAGGCUGGUCUCAAACUUGUGACCCUCCUGCCUCAGCCUCUAGAGUUGCUGGGAUUACAAGCAUGUGCUACCUGUCCAGCUAUCCACUUGGUUCUUGAAACAACCUUCCUAGCCCAUUUUAUAGAGGUAAAAUUCAGACCCUAAAAAUAUUCAAAUAAGGUUACACAGCUAAAUUUUGUUAGAUUAGAUUUCCUGGUUUUGCUCUUUCAUUUAAAAAAAAAAAUUCCUAAACUCUUAUGGGUUUUCUUCCCCCUCUAUUACACAAAUCAAGGAUGACAAGAAGGCUAUUCCUUGCAGUCCAUGAAUGGGUACAGUUAUUAGGGAAACUACUCAAAUUACAUGUGGAAUUUGAAUGAAAGUGCACAGCGCUUUUUUUUUUUCCUGGAGAAGAAAUCCAUAUUUCAAGCAUAUUUAUGAAAACUUUCAUGAUAUGCAAAAGAUUAAACUCACUGAUAGAAGGAAAGGCUGUCACCUUCCCUCUCUACAUACCACAACAAAUGAAGAUUAAAUCGUUACCAUAAAUACAACAACUCUCAAACUAAGCCCUUCAGAGCCAUUCCAAAAUGUCUGGCGUCAGGCUACUAAGCAUUCAGAUCAAUGGGAUCUUUACUUUCUUGGGCUGCUUGGCUCUGGGCAGAGAGGUCCUGGCUCUCUCCUGUCCCCUGUCCCCUGUGUCUCUUGCUCCCAUCCUCAUACAGCUUGGGAGGGGAGAGGAGAGACUUUCCUGGGUCUCUUCAGGAUGAGAUUUCCAGCCUCUGUAACAGAAACCCUUGGUUUCCUACCCAGAGCCUCAGUUUACUCUCUCACGCUCAUUCCCUAGGGGCGACAGGGACUUUCCUGAAUUUGGCCCUAUCCCCAGCCCUAGCACGCUGAUCCUGAUAAUCUGAUCAAUCAUGAGAAUUUUAUUCUCCUUGCUGGAAAUUGGCUUAAGAAGAAACAUAUAACUCAAUUCUGAUCAAAGAAAUCGGAGGGUAACAAAUGAUAGUUUUUAUUUAUUUUUUUUUUGUGUGUGUGUGAUGUUUUUGUUUUUGUUUUUUACUGGGGAUUGAACCCAGGGAAGCUCUACCACUUGGCUAUGUUCCCAGCUCUUUUACAUUAUUUUUGAGACAAGGGCUCACGAAGUUGCCCAGUCUGACCUCAAACUUGUAAUCCUCUUGCCUCAGCAUCCUGAGUAGCUGAGUGGAAGAAUUUCUUUCCAGCUCUCAAGAGAACUACAAGGACUACAGAGGACUCUUUUCUGGCUUUGAACAUGUUUUCACAGAGAAAUAAUCACCAGAGCCCUGGCAGCCAUUUUGUGGUCAGGAGGGAAAAUGAUUGACCUGAUGAAGUUGGCCAGGCAGAAGCAUGGAAAAAUCCUAGACCCUUCCGAGGUUGUUUAAAGAGUGAAUUAACUAACUCCAGCGCACAUCUUUCUAAACACCAUGUAGUGCAUGCUAAUUAAUGUCAUGCAUCACAUUAUUUUAAAACCAUUGUGAAUGGAAUUGACAGUUAUUGUUGGCAAAAAUGUUUUAAUUCCCAGAUUCGGUGGUUCACAUGCGCUUCUGUAAUUCCAGCGACUCAGGAGGCUGAGUCAGAUAGGUUGCAAGUUCAAAGCCAGCUUCACCAAUUUAGCAAGGCCCUAAGCAACUUAGCAAGGCCCUGUCUCAAAAUUAAAAAAUAAACAGGGCUGGGGAUGUGGCUCAGUGGUUAAGCACCCCUGGGUUCAAUUCUUGGUACAAAAAAAGCCCCAUGCUAUGGAACCACCUUCUGUGGAACGUGUUAAAGUAAGAUCAUCUUACUAUUUUUUUUUCAGAUAAACUCACCUUAUAAAGAAACAAGAGCCACUAUAACUGGAUGAAUGACUAAGAUAGGUGGGUCACAGCACUCAUGGAUCAACCUAUCCAAAACCAAAUUGCAAAUUUUAAAAGGGACCUUUGGGAUAAUUAUUGGAGUGAUUUCAAAGCUCUGAUCAAUGGACUCAUGUGCUUAUACAGGGAUGCUUUACAAACCUACCAAUAUUUGAUUCAAAUUCCUUUAGAAUUUUGUCCCACAAUUUAAAAUUCUUCAAGUUAAUUUUUUUCACAGUUAAAUAUUUCAUACAACAAAUAUUUACAUGCUAGAGCGAACCAGUAUAUAUUAACAUACACAUGUAAAAUAUUAAAUUGUAUUUCCAGUUUCACAGGCUUCUGCCAUAAUUAUUUAGUAAAUGUUCAUUGAGUCAGAAUGAUGUAGCUCCAUGCUGGUCUUUUCUCUAUUAUUAUUGUCAUCCUUCAAUGCAGAACUUUUAUGUCUAUUUAUGUAAAAUUGUACACAUGUAUAUCACAUAUAGCAUGCAGAGGCCCAUGAAAUUAAAAGCCAGGUAGAGUACACUUUUUUCUUAGCUUUUGUGUGAACACAGUGCAAUCAUAAUUUUAAAAUAAUAAUGGGAUGCUUUGUAAUGUGUCACGUGAUGCAUAUUUGUGAACUUACUGUUUGAAUGCUUCUCUCUUCCUUUUAAAGGCUGAAUCAGCUCGCCUUGGCAAAGCAAAACUUCUGGGUUAAUUCUGGAUAAUUGGUUAGCAAAGAUGUUAUGUGUAAAAUAUGUAUGCCGUGUUCCAAGCAAAAUAAAUUUGUGUCUAUUUUAAA
RNAcentral lists this long non-coding RNA (10790 nucleotides) under Marmota monax (woodchuck). The record is from RNAcentral. Lineage: Eukaryota; Metazoa; Chordata; Mammalia; Rodentia; Sciuridae.